RNAcentral lists this ribosomal RNA (687 nucleotides) under uncultured Serratia sp. RNAcentral's name for it is "bacterial SSU rRNA". It matches the Rfam family "Bacterial small subunit ribosomal RNA", at positions 791 to 1479 of the family's 1533-position model. Lineage: Bacteria; Pseudomonadati; Pseudomonadota; Gammaproteobacteria; Enterobacterales; Yersiniaceae. The record is from RNAcentral.
UAGUCCACGCCGUAAACGAUGUCGACUUGGAGGUUGUUCCCUUGAGGAGUGGCUUCCGGAGCUAACGCGUUAAGUCGACCGCCUGGGAGUACGGCCGCAAGGUUAAAACUCAAAUGAAUUGACGGGGGCCCGCACAAGCGGUGGAGCAUGUGGUUUAAUUCGAUGCAACGCGAAGAACCUUACCUACUCUUGACAUCCAGAGAACUUAGCAGAGAUGCUUUGGUGCCUUCGGGAACUCUGAGACAGGUGCUGCAUGGCUGUCGUCAGCUCGUGUUGUGAAAUGUUGGGUUAAGUCCCGCAACGAGCGCAACCCUUAUCCUUUGUUGCCAGCGGUUAGGCCGGGAACUCAAAGGAGACUGCCAGUGAUAAACUGGAGGAAGGUGGGGAUGACGUCAAGUCAUCAUGGCCCUUACGAGUAGGGCUACACACGUGCUACAAUGGCGCAUACAAAGAGAAGCGACCUCGCGAGAGCAAGCGGACCUCAUAAAGUGCGUCGUAGUCCGGAUUGGAGUCUGCAACUCGACUCCAUGAAGUCGGAAUCGCUAGUAAUCGUAGAUCAGAAUGCUACGGUGAAUACGUUCCCGGGCCUUGUACACACCGCCCGUCACACCAUGGGAGUGGGUUGCAAAGGAAGUAGGUAGCUUAACCUUCGGGAGGGCGCUUACCACUUUGUGAUUCAUGACUGGG